ACGCAAGUUGAGGAUCGGUAGUUAGCUCUUUCGGCCGGCUGAAAUAGGCAUCAUUAAAGCGACGAGAUUUACGACUCUCUCAUCCAACUCCUUCCCUAUGGUGUUCAAUAACUGGCCGAUUGCCUCAACAUUUUCCUCAGCAGGGCAUGAUUUUCCAUCACACAGUAAAUCAUUGAGCGGGACGCGGGGCGCCGGCACCUACGUGUGGGCGGAGGACGGCGUGAUCGGAGGCGGCGGAGUCGAACCGUGGAGCGAGUAUUCUGCUGCCUCUGGUCCUCCCUCCACCGCCGGGCCUCAAGCCGAUGACCGCCUGAUCAGUCUGCAUACCUCGCCAAAAGACCUCGGAUUCUCUCUCUCUCUCUCUCUCUCUCUCUGAGCAGUGGUGCGAUCAAGCUGGCCACCCAAUCGGCGCCGCGAAUGGUGGAAGAGGCGGGGAGAGAUGGAGGUCGUGUUGGCGAAGCCUUCUUCGCCCUCGGGGUGCCGAACGGAAGGGCGAGAGGAAGGGAGGGAAUCGGAGCCGCAAAUGUAGAUGUAUUUAUGUCUGCGGUCUUUCCGACGUCGCUAAUUGCAACGAAAGGAUCGUUCUGAUGAUUGUCACUUUAUAACGAUCACUUUAUAACAACGAGAGAUGAGAAUCGAUGUUGACAUAAUUACAGACAUAAUUACAGAGUGAUAAAAGGUGUGCUCGUCGAUAUGUACGUUGAUGUCAACACAAAUAUAAAAUGAUAAAACAGUCGCUAGAUAAUUAUAUCGUCGUCGAUAUGAAUGUAAAACGGUUCUCACAUUUUACGGUUGCUCUUCUCAUCCAAAAAGCCACCCGAAUAAUCCUUUCAUCGCUCUAUAUCAAUAUCGACGUCGAUACAAUUAUCCUGGUAACAUAUGCUUUCGCCCAUGACUUCAAUAAAAGGAGAGAUGGCACGUGCCGGUUGGAGUUGAUAAUAUGCCUAGCGCUUUUUACACAUAUAUCCUUGUAAGGUUUAAAAAUACUGUAUUUACCCUUAUAUAUAUAUAUAUAUAUUCUUCAGAAAAGUAAAUUUAUGAUCCUGAAUACACAUGCAUAUAUAUACACCUCCCAUUUACACUCAUUUAAAAAAUUAAGAUUAAUUAUAAAAAUAAUCAUUCUUAAGCAACUGCUGGGUUUCAUCCAUGAACAUAUAAUAAGGUAAGUAGGCAAUUCACUUCAUGUAAGUUUGAGUGUUGUGCUGUCUAAUCUAUGAACAUUUCAACAGUGGAAUUGAGAGCCAAAUAGACUAAUUAUUCUUAGAAUUACAUGAUUCACAAUGAAUUUAGAAUCAGGAUCAUAAUAGUCAACAAAAAGCCUGUCAUUAUUACUUCACAGGGAAGAACUGCUUGAAGGUUUCAGAUGUCAUUCUAGUCUUGGCAUUAGAAUGAGAGACAUCAAGAUAGUUGAUAGCAAGGAUGUUCUAUGCAAAUGUAGCAAACAUGACAAUGGUAUAUUGCGGUCCAAGAAGCCAACCAGUACAUGGAAUACCAGAGAGAGAGCCUGUUGACUCAAGCUGAAGCAUUCUUCAUGGCACACUGCAUCACGAGAAGGCUUGGAAGAUAUCAUCAGCAUGCAUAGAUCUAAAUUACAUGUACAUAUAAACUGCAUCGGGCUUCUUGAAGCCUUUCAAGGUUUAAUGUUCUUCUGCACCAUCCUCGGAGAGGGCUGGUCGAUGUUAAUUCCAUGUACAUAUAAACUGCAUCAGGCUUCUUGAAGCCUUUCAAGGUUUAAUGUUCUUCUGCACCAUCCUCGGAGAGGGUUGGUCUAUGUUAAUUGCAUAUGAUUCAUAAUCUUUUAUAUAGAAGGGAAUGUCUUCGGGCACAAGGUCUCAGAUAUAGAGACAAAGGAAGAGGCAUCGAGCUUACCAUCAGCUACAAGUGCUUCCUUCACACGAUUGCAUAGCAAGCACGUACGGUUUCUAAACAAUAGAUGGAUGAUGGAGGCCGGAAUCCAUAUUCUCAAGAUAGAUGAUAGAAGUAGGAAUCCUAAUAUAUAUAUAUAUAACUUUGGUGAGCAAUUGCAGGAACUAAGAGCACACAAAACGAAACUGUAGAUGUGAAAGUUAUUACUUUGGUGAUAAAUCUAUGUUUUUUUAUGGAGAAAAACUAGACUUCAUCUGUUUCUGAUCAUUCGCAAAAGCUGAAACAAUCAACAUCGAUUAGCAGUUGCACACUGCUCGUUAACUCUUCACAUAUUUGAUGGUCACGUAUCCGAUUGUUUCGAUUGAAACCCUCCGUUUAAAGAAAAACCAAACUAUCUUUUUAUUUUUUCUUAUCUUUUCACAGGACUAUUAUAUAUCAUAAAAUAAGGACUAAAGAGAUAUAAGAGAAAAUAUAUAAUUUCUAUUAUCACAUUUUUGUUAUGACCGUAUCGACGCUAUACGCUAGGGGGAGGUGGUGAAUUAAUGCUUUCGUAAGAAAUAUCGAUUUGAAAAUCCGAUAUCGAAAAAAAUUUUAACUUUAAAUCAUUCGUAAGUGUAGUGAAUAAAUAAAUCAGUUUGUAAUAUGAAUAAAAACAUAAAGUAAAUGCAAACCAGAUUUAUAUUGGUUCGAUCAACAUGACAUAUAUCCACUCUCGAUUCCUCUUCACUUGAGGCCAUCGGCUUCUACUACCAAUCUUUUUUCCAACGGGUGAAUAUCAACUAUCCUUAUAACUCUUUCUCCUUGACAGAAGAGAACUUUUACACCUCUCUUUAGACCUCACUAUCCUUUUAAAAAUUUUCUAACUCUAGGAGGAAGAUACUCACUAACUUUAGAGAGAUUAUAAUAUUUUUUUUCUCAAGUAUAUAUUUUUUUUCUUUUCUACUCAAUUUCAUAUAUUAUCAAAAAAAAUAAUUAUGAUAUUUAUAUACCCUAGAUGGCUUAAAAAAUGGAGUAAAAAAAAGGUCUUAUUUCGGGUUUCCCAAGUCAUAAUGGUACCAUUGCCAUUACCGGACGGUACCACCGUCUACCAGAUUGAGCUGGUGGUACUAUCACAUAUUAGUCUGAUACUGAGCGGUACCAUCGCCCAGUAUGACAAUAUCACCGCCUAACACAAUAUGGAAGACUGUAUCUAAAUGGUACUACCACCUAAUCUAACGGUGCUAUCACCUAUGCCAACUAUGGGUCAUUGAAUGAGCUUUUUACUUAGCCUAAAACAAUCUCAAUUCGGGCUCAAUUAACUCCUAAUAAAAUUAUAUAUAUAUAUAUAUAUAUAUAUAUAUAUUAUUGUUAAUUAUAAUUAAUCAUGAUUACAAGUUUAUUGACUUUUCUAAUUUUAGAUGCAGCAUUUUUUUGUCCUUAUAAAACAAAAAAAUAUCUUAUAGAUAUGUCAAUAAAAUUAAUCUCCCCUAAAUUAACCAUCAGAUAUAAUAUUGUUGGAAUUUUAAUUGACAUAAUAUCCAUGUAAAAUAUAUUAUAAAUGUAUGCCUUUUAAAAUAAUACAUAUGAUAAUCAAAUAAAUGAUAGUGAUACAAGGUGCUUUAGAUAUUAAUACAUUCUAUAGGUAGUAUAACACCUUUCAAAGUUUUCUAUGCUAAUGCUUGUGGAUAAUCAUUAUAUUUCUCCUAAGCAAAGCUUGCUGGUGUAAUCUGAAAGCAUUAAUCUAUUAAUGAUUGAUAUGAUAGCUUGUUUGUUGUCAUCAUAAUGAUUAAACUUAGCAUGUAUUAAAGUGAUUUGGCAAGUUGUGAAUGAAAAAAAAUUUAAAUUUUCAUUUUGUCACACAUCUGACUUAAUGAAAUGUUUUUCUUGAUAUCAAUCAAUUCCUUGACAAUAAAAUGAUUGAAAUGUUUGGUGUUUUCAAAUAUCUUCUUAUCAGUUAUUGCUAAAAUUGAUUGACAAUAAAUACUUGGAACAUUUGGUUUCUCAUUAUUGAAAAACAAAUCAAAUGAAGGAAAAGAAUAGAACAAAUAUAGAUGAUGACACAAACAAAUUCUGUCUCUACUAUCUACAAUGAACCCAAGAGGUAUUGCAAUUUGCAUUCAUGGAACAAUCACCCACAAAAGUUCUGAUAUUUCACUUUUUCUGAAUUCUUUUACUGUUGAUAAUUCACUUUACAUCAUGGAAGAAAAAAAGGGCUCUUUUCUUUUUCUUCUUUGAAUGGCCCAAAUGUUCAGCAAUAUGCAGAGAUUGCAGUGAUCAUAGGCCUGAGCACUUUCACUGUUUUCUAACAUGGCUUUUUUUCUUUCCCUCAUCCCUGUUCUUGCAGCACAAUAUGUGAUCUCAUCUACAGCAAUAAGCUACUUCACACUGCUUUCUUUUCUUUUGCUGCUCUCUGUUCAUGUAGCACAGUGUGUGAUCCACCUACAGCAACUGGCAAUGAAGUGCCUGCAAAAUGCCAAGUAAGCAUUGUCAUCAUCACAUGGUUGGUGCAAAUGCCUUCUUUGUCACCAAGAAAAGCCCACACUUCACAAGCUAUAUCUAUCUUUGUAGCAGACCAACACAGGCCUUUGUGUCUUGUCUGGAUUCAGGGAAACCUUGCUGUGAACUCAGCCAUGGCUUCUGACAAACAUUUACAGAUACUAGAUAGGUGAACACUUGCUAUGGAUCCAUGGAGAGGUCAAUUCCUUUGAGAGAAGCUUUCCAAAGGCUCAUUGAUAAGAGACAGCUUGUCAAACAUUCAAGUUAAGCUUUAACCACCUGCUAAGAGCAUUGGAAGGAGAUCAGUUUAUGCUCAGAAAUAGUUGCUCAAUACAUCAUUAAGUACAAGAAUGUGAUAUCGAUGCAAGCAUGACAUAGAUACCGCCUGAUGCAUUACAAUCGGAUUAAACCGAGAUUUAAUUAGACUUGAUAUGAACUACCUAAAACUACACGACUCUUACUUAGCCGAAAUCUAGAAGCUAAAAGGCUCUUUUCAAUUUUUUAAUUACCUUUUGGCAUAAAGCAUGCAUAAAAAUGGAAGAAAAAUCACAAUGCACUUUUAUCUUGCUGUUCUUAUUACCAGAUUCUGAUGUCAUUUCUGAAAUUGCAACAAAAUAUCAAGAGGUAUGCUAUAUUCAGGAAAUGAACUUAAGAUGCCAAGCAAAUUAGAAGCCAGAUCUGCUUAUGAUUAGUUUAAAUUGUUUUAGAUUAUGUCAUUAUGAUACUGCUUGCUACCUGCAUUUAUGAAUUUGUAGACCUGAAAACAAAAAUAAGAAGAAUCAAGAUAUCGACUUAAUACAAUCAUUGUGGUGUCCAUUAGUAGGAAGGUUUAGUUAAAUGAUUAUAUUAAGAAGAGGGAAAUAAUCAGUAGAAACUAGACAUAAUACAAGUUAUUAUUAUGCCAACUUAAGGUACACUCUCAUAUAUGCAAAUGAGCAGAACUUGGUCGCAAACAGUUCAUGUAUUUGGAGGAACCUACAGCUCAUGUCAAUAAGUUAGCAAAGAUCUGUGGCAACUAUUUCAUGCACAGUUCAAGGUUUAAAUGAAUCAAGCAAAUGCCUACAGGAAGUUCAUUGUAAUAAGGUUUAGAUACAAAGUUACAGUCAUUCUUGUCUAAGUCGCCUAAAUUCGUGCACUUAGAUGAAUGUAUUCAACUCCAUUUCCUUGUAUUCUCUAGGAAAAAGUGCUGACCCAACUCAUCGUUUUUAUCAAAGAUAUGAUUCUUUCUAUAUAUCUUAGCAUGCAUGAAAUGUACAGUCAUAUAAGACAGCAACACCUUGUACAAGAACUAACAAAAAAGAUGGCCAGGACAAAACAUUAUGAUUUGCAACUCAGAUUCAUAGAACACUUCAAACCACUCCAGAGCCUUCAGAGUGUAAAGACAGGCUCCUUUUUGUCGAGAGUUAAUUGGAAAGGAUGAGUGCUUCACCUGCUUGGCUCUACUAAGCAAUGGAGGUACCUAACAAAGCAUGAAGAGUCGGUGAUGCCAUCAGGGUUGCAAAUGUGGCCCGUGGGGGAUCAUUUUGGGGGUUCUUGUGAAUGAACAGAAUGAUCAGAGCAACAAUUGAAGAGAUCUCUUGACUCAGAAGGAGAAGACUAAUGUGGCAUUGUCAUUAUGGGAGCAAUGAGGAAGAAAGGUAUGUCAUAUCCUACUUAACUCUGUUCACUCUCUAUCUAAAGAUUGGAUCCAAUGUGUUAGAGGGCCUCAACUGCCUCCACUUUGAUUUGGUGCAUAUUUCCAUUGUGUUCUUUUAGCUCCAAGAAAAAAAAGGGGUUUGUCAACAGUGAUGAAACACAGGACUCAGCACAAUAUUAGAAGAAAAUUGCAUUUAUUUGAAGCCUAAUCUGCUUCAUCCUUUCUGUCCAUUAUUGAGAAUCACAAGCUUGCUAUUUAGUAUUAUCAAUUCAGAUGUUGGUCACAAUACCACACACAACAUAACUGUAAAAUAGAACAGAAUUCAAGGCAAUCGACUGAGUCACCUACAAACCUGCGUUUGGAACUUUUCUCUUCUCUAGUCAACACCAUUGUCGUUGGUAAGUAAUAAGAAUGCACCACACUGAUGCAUGUAACUCGAGACUGAUUCUAUAUCUCAUCUAUCAAGACUUCUACUUUGUUUCAGAUGAUCGAUUUCUUCUUAGGCAAAAGAGAAGCAGAAUUUUUGUGCUUAUGCGUGUUUUGCAGCAUGCACGUUUCCUUUUGCAUUGCUGAAAAUAAACUUGGAUAUGGUAGGUGAUUAAUGGGUGUCUGUGUUUCCUUGACAUUAACAUGGAUCAUGAAGGGAUAAAUCAUUUCAGUUUCGUCAUUCUAAGGUAUAUCGAGAAGAACAAAUCAGAAAACUACUUAUUUGUCUGGUACAGCUACAUCAGAUAUUUGACAGACUCACAGGUCUGCAUCUUAGUAUGAAAGGUAAGUUACCUCAAAGCUCAUUGAUGUCUUUCUUCUUCUUCUUCUUCUUCUUCUUCUUCUUCUUCUUCAGCAGCAGCAGCAAAAGCAGCAUCAUCAUCGACCAGGUUUGUCUCGAAGGUGCAGGAAUGCUUGAUGUAGUUUAUAUAAUUGCCUCGGUCAUCUUUCAUGGAAAAAAUUGUAAAGUGUUUGAUCAUGGGCCAGUCUGCGCCAUUUUGGAGGCAUCUGCGGAGGAGUUGGGUGGUUCCGGACACGUCCAGUCUCUGGAGUGUGGUGAAGCUUGCAGGACAAGCCGCCAACCACUCCGGUAAAUGUUUUUGAUCGAACAAGAAGUUGCCCAACUUCAAGAGCUCCAGCGCAGGGAGAUCAGUAACAAUCUCCAGAUCUGAUUUACCACUUAUGCUCAGUUGUUUCACAGAAGGGAAACCUCUGAUGGACUUGAGAGCACACACAUAGGACAGAUCCAAUGUGGUUAAGCAGGUUGCCUGUCGGAUCAGGCCUUCCGGUAGACACUUCAACUUGGGGCAAUUUACGAGGACCAAUUUGUCGAGGCGAUGCAUAGCAAAACCUCCCGCUACCCAAUCCCACACUUCCAUGUUAGUCAUAUUCCAGAGUUCCAGCUGCCUUAGUUUCGGAAACAACGGAGGAGAAGUAGUAGUAGUAGAAGAAGAAGAAGAAGAAGAAGAAGAAGAAGAAGGGCGCUUUGAAUUCCGUUCCGGAUCAUGACCAGUAGCAACCGCAGCUUCACACCCAAAAAAUUCCGGUCCGAUGGUGGUCACUGCACGUGCACCGCGUAUGAAAAGAAACUCCAAACUGGGGAGCUUUCCUAGCGGUGGAAGCAGUGGCCAAUGAUCGCAGUUAAUUAGUUCCAAGCGGCUUAUGUUUGGAAGAAGCGAACUGAUGCUUGCAGACGCCAUCCAGCUGGGGUACCGGAGGCCGAAGAAAUUCUGUAAACUGAGCGAAACAACAGAUGAUGGUGGAUGAAGUGCCACAUCCAACACCUUCUCCAUUCUUUCAAUCUCUUCCUCCGUGUGACCAUCGGAUGUCGGUCGGUCUGAGCAUUCUAAGCGCAGAUGCUUCAGUUUUUGGUUACCCUUUAAGCCGCUUGUAUCUCUCCUUGGAUCAGCUUCCAUGCACGCCCUCUCCAACUUGAAAAUGGAAAGGUAUCUGAGCUCCAGGAGGCCGCCUAAUGCUUCCAAUGGACACAUACCAUUACCCGUGUUCACGACGAAUCCUUGGAGUUCAUUGAGGUGCUUCAACCUUUUUAUUCCAUAUGGAAAGCUCUCCAGCCGUGUACCUAUACAAUCGAGUGUCCUUAGAUUGACUAGCCUAUCUAUACCUUGGGGGAUCUGUGUCAACUUCGUACAUCCUGAGAGGAUCAAAAACUGCAAAUUCAUCAGAUUGCAUAUGCUUUCUGGAAGCUCCGUUAUAAAGCUCCAAUAUACAAUCAAGUAUCUCAAGUGUAUCAAAUUUCCGAUAUAGUGCGGUAGGCUCUGAAUAUUUAUGCCCAUGAGAUAGAGGACUCGAAGUCGCACGAGGUUCUUCAAGGAAUCAUCUAUAUCCCCCACAAUGCCGCGUGUUCCCUCCACUAACAAUGUCCUCACUGACUCAUGUCGCUUGGUCAAACUGACGAUGUGCUGGAUGUCCGUGGUUUCAGUGGCCACGAUCGACAACCGACGCAGCUUCAUCGGGACGACACCACUUUUCCACUCGUUUUGCACGUCACUAAUGAACAAGCUCUCAUCUCUCGAUAGGAAAUGGCCGAGAGAUCUCAGCAGGUCAUGCAUCUUGGAAUAUUCAUCGUAGUCCACACUCAAAGGUUGCAGCGAUUGUAGAAGGCACCUAUGAUGCAGCUCUAUGUAAUAUUGCUCCCCUGUUUCCUCCAAGCUGACAUCUCCUCGUGCUUCGACAAACCCCUCGGCUAUCCAUAAUCUGACGAUUUCAGGCCCGUAAAACUCAAAGUCUUCUCGGAACAGGGCGCAGUAGAGAAAGCAUUGCUUGAGAUGAGACGGCAGGUCUUGGUAACUCAGAUACAGUGCUCCGUGCACACCUUCGGGAAGCCCGGUCCGUGACCAUGCGGCGCUGCGGAGAACCUCCUCCCACACACUUCUGUUGAGUCCUCUGGUGCAGAGGACCCCUCCGAUGGUCUUGAUGGCCAGGGGAAGCCCUCCGCAUUUCUCAACAAUCUUCAUGCCUGUGUCCUUGAGAUCUUGGGCAUCCCUUUCCUCCUCUGCAUUCAUCGUCGCCUUCUUGCACAGGAGCGACCAGCCAUCCUCCGGAGGCAGCAGCUUCAUCUCGUGGACGUGGGCCGCCUUCAUUUGCCUCGCGAUCCCUGCGUUUCUGGUGGUCACCAGCACCCUACUCCCUGCUGCUCCUCCCUGCAAAGGAUUGCGGAGCAAGUCGUCCCAGAUCUGAGCAUCCCAAACAUCAUCCAACACCAGCAAGAACUUGUUCCCUCUCAGGAGAUCCUCCACCAAGGGCUCCAGCAGACUCCUGCUCUGUUCUCCACCAUGGCUUCCACCAGCACCUUUAACGAUAUUUCUGAGAAGAUCCGUUUCGUUGAACUCUUGGGACACGCACACCCAGAUGGUGGUGCGGAAGCUGGCUUUGAUUUUACCAUCAUUGAACACCUUCUGAGCGACGGUGGUCUUUCCGAUGCCGCCGAUCCCCACAAUUGCCAGCACCACCACGUUCUUACUCGGAUCUUGCUUUGUCAGCUGCUCCACCAGUGCCUCGGCGUCCUCCUCCAGUCGCUCGCCAACCAUGUCAGACUCCAUCACGGGGGAAGUUAUGCGACUAACUCGAGGAACCACCCUUGGUCCCGCCGCAGACACAUGGAGUUGCAACUUGGACCUUCGGGCCGAGAUCUCUUCCAGCCGAUCGUUGAGAACCUUGAUUUUGACGCCCACCUUCUUUCUGAACUUGACCUCGCGAAAGCAAGCAAAGACGGGAAAUCCGCACGAGGUGGACGGCUUCGGAUCGGACUCACGAGGAGUCCACUUCUCGGCCUCCAUCCGGCACUCGUCGAGGACAUCGUCAGCGUCGUACAUGACAUCCUUGAGCUCCAUCAGCCAGUUAUUGACGUCCUCGUCCUCGAUCCGCCGCUUCUCGGCGUCGCGAAGGACAUACUGGAUGUUGCGGAGAGUGCGUUGGAGCUUUUGGAUCUCCCCGGGAACGCCCAACAGCAAGUCCACCUCCUCUUUAGCCAUGUCCAUCAACGUACCGACCAGCCCGGAGAUGAAGGCUUCAAGCACAACGGCCAUCUUUGGUCACAGAGUGGGAGUGGGAGUGGGAGUACUGUACCUCUCUCUUCUAAGUCUUUGUGUCAGCCAAGACGAAGGUGCAAAUUAUAGCUGCAUAAACUAUAUAUAUAUAUAUAUUCUAAAAGAAAACUUAAAAAACUUAAUUACUAAAAUUGAUAUAUCAACGAAAGAUAUAUCCAAAUCCAAAAGAUAAAAAUUCCUCCAAAAAUCAAAGAAUUUAUUGGCUCCAGUAUGAGCGACUAAUCGAUUAGCCACAUGAUUUUCUUCCAUAUAAGAUUUUAUAAUCAUUCAUAUAAACAUUUGAUGUAAAAUAUCCCUAACAACAUUUAAAAUUCAUCAUAGAGGAAGAAAAAGAUUAUUUAUUUAUAAUAUUUACUAUCCUCAUAAGCCAGCCAAGUGUAAUCCUUUAAAGAUAAUUUUUACGUCACAAUAAUUAUUAUCUGGUUUCUAAAUAUACCUACAACUGAAAAAAAAUAACGAAAGCAUCUGAAGCCAAUACCACUAUUACAUUUAUGAUUCUAAGAAAUAUUAUAAUUUAAUUUGAUCCAAUCGAAAGCUAAUUUUUCUCAUUUAACCAAGCAAAAUUAAUGACUAAAGUUUCUUAUGGAUUUGAUUGACUUCUGAUAAAUGUGUAAAACCAUUUCAAAAAAAUAUAUAUAUAUAUUAUAUUAUUAAAAAUAACAUCAUUAUGAUCCCCGAGAGCAAUAAAAUAAAAAGUCUCAAAAUUAAACAAAAAAUAAACCCUCACCUAAAUCGAAGGCCCAUGUGAUGACCGAGAAUCAAAAAGAUAAAAAUAUAAACCAAAUCGAUUCUUACACAGAGAUCAAAAAGUCAACUAAACAGAACUUAGCUGUACUCACAAAUCCCCAAACCCGAUCAACGGCGACCAGCAACAGUAGCACUGGCAAAACAUGCAUAAACUAUGGACGAACAAUAUAAAGUACGAGUGACCAAUUCUAUAACGUGUUGCAAGAAAAAAGAGGCUUUUGAUACCAACUAAAGACUAUGAUAUCAAGAUAAAACAGGUUGGUUCUGAUGCUAAUAACAAAAGCAAAAGCGGGAGAUGGACAAAGGGAUGAGUGAAUGAUUGAGAUGCGGAGGGAGUAAAAGAAUUUAUGCAAAGAAGUGGUUCCACACUUGGAAGGAUUAACAUACAGACACAUAAGAAUUUGCAAGUAUAAGAUCAACAUUUCAAACCAAGUUAAACCAGAUAUAUAUAUAUAUAUAUAUAUAUAUAUAUAUAUAUAUAUAUAUAUAUAUAUAUAUAUAUAUAUAUAUAUNNNNNNNNNNNNNNNNNNNNNNNNNNNNNNNNNNNNNNNNNNNNNNNNNNNNNNNNNNNNNNNNNNNNNNNNNNNNNNNNNNNNNNNNNNNNNNNNNNNNNNNNNNNNNNNNNNNNNNNNNNNNNNNNNNNNNNNNNNNNNNNNNNNNNNNNNNNNNNNNNNNNNNNNNNNNNNNNNNNNNNNNNNNNNNNNNNNNNNNNNNNNNNNNNNNNNNNNNNNNNNNNNNNNNGUAGUAUAACACAUUUCAAAGUUUUCUAUGCUAAUGCUUGUGGAUAAUCAUUAUAUUUCCCCCAAGCAAAGCUUGUUUAUUGUCAUCAUAAUGAUUAAACUUAGAAUGUAUUAAUGUGAUUUGGCAAGUUGUGAAUGAAAAAUAUUUUAAAUUUUCAUUUUGCCACACAUCUGACUUAAUGAAAUGUUUUUCUUGAUAUCAAUCAAUUCCUUCUUUUAAUGUGGUGUUUUCAAAUAUCUUCUUAUCAGUUAUUGCUAAAAUUGAUUGACAAUAAAUACUUGGAACAUUUGGGUUUCUCAUUAUUGAAAAACAAAUCAAAUGAAGGAAAAGAAUAGAACAAAUAUAGAUGAUGACACAAACAAAUUCUUUGUCUCUACUAUCUACAAUAAAAAUUAAUUAAUUUUUGGACUUUUUCUGUUCCUCCAAAUAUCUUCACCAACUCUUAGGAUCCAAGAUCAUUUCAUGGUACCAAUGAUUUAGCCAUUACUUUUCUCAUGUAACAUGAAUUAUGAACCCAUGAGGUGUUGCAAUUUGCAUUCAUGGAACAACCACCCACAAAAGUUGUGAUAUUUCACUUUUUCCUGCGUUCUUUUACUGUUGAUAACUCACUUUAUAUAAUGGAAGAAAAAAAAGGGCUCUUUUCUUUUUCUUCUUGGAAUCAUCCAAAUGUUCAGCAAUCUGCAGUAUUUAAUUUAUAUUUAGUUAUAUUCUCUUUAAAUUUUGCCAUGUACAUGAGAGGAUUUGAUGAUGACUGGUUUUGUCUUUAUCAUGAUUUAGAAGUCAAAAGGCUUUUUAGUCUUUUCCUCUUCUCCUAUUUCUUUUGGCAAUUGAUGGUAAUUUUAGAGUUAGCAACAUCAUUAGGAGGGCUACCAACUUUAACGAGGAAUUGAAGUAUUUUUUAUGUUGCAUGAAAAUUGAGGUGUGGAGAAAGAUUACCAGAAACCUUUUUUAAAUGACUUCUCAUAUCGAUAGCAGUUAUUCCCUUCAGCUUUCGGACUUCAUCCCUCGGUUUCUCAACACCUUCGAAUGCCUCCUGGCAAUUAUUUAAGAGUACACGCUUGACGGUAAUCACCCUCCCACCUUCUUCAUCAAUGGGGAAGAAAGGAAGUCUUUCGUUGAGAUAGGAACACAGUUGAGCACACACGGGGCAAAUUGUUGGCUCAAAGACAGACAGCUUUCUCAAAAAUGAUAGUAACUACACCCUGCAGCAUAGGUGUUCUCCAUAUAAAAUUUCGAUAAAUUAGAGCUGAAAUAUUCAACAAAAAUAUCAUAUAAAUUUAGGGAGAGAUCAUAACCUUUAGGAUAUCAGGUGUCAUAAUUCCAGCAUCAACUAUCUGACCCUUUAAAACAUCAAACUUUUCUGGCGUCAGCUUGUUCAAUAUACUGCAAUAAUAAAAAAAAACAUCUUCACCCGAGAAUCCAAUUAAUACACCAUAAGUUGACUGCAAGUGAAGUCUAUGAAUUCCAAGGAAAGCAAUUAAAAGCCUAAUCUGAACCAGAAUCAUAGCCCAAUAUAGAUUAAUGUAUGGAGGAUGACUUCUGUUAUGCACGUACAAAAUCAUCAGCAUCUUUUGCUACACUAAAUUAAGAAUUAAUAUAAUUACCCUUCUACUGUUUUCAGCACCAGCUAUUUUUCACUAGGAUUGCCUCUUCGAGCAGAUCACGGCACUUCAGCCUUAUGUAGAGCAGGAGCAAGUCCUACCUAUUAUAUUGCAAUUGGAGCUGACCAAUGUCAAAACACAAACAAAAAUGAAGAUCGAAAUGCACAAAAAAAGGGUACAACUAAUGAGUCCAGAUAUAACAAGCCAACAAAUAAAUCCAGGAUAAAUGUCCCACGAGCAAUUGCAAAGGUGGCCAAGAGGCAAGAUAGUAUAACCAUUCAAGUACAUAAGGUAGUGAUAACAGAAAAAUCCUUAGCACAUGAGAUAGUAUGAAUUGAGGCCAAGUUCCUCUUUUCGGUCCGAAGGUUAAAAACUCCCUACAUGGUUAGGUAAAUACAUAGUAUUGCAGAAAAUUGUCGACAAACACAAUCAAGCUGAGACAUAGACCUAUUUCAAGAAUACGCCUGAAAACAACAUAAAUUACACAUUUGGAACAAGUUAAUUAUCAGGGUAAAAAAAAAAGGAAGGACUGCAGAACGUCUCAGAAAUGAAAUGUUCAAAGCAAGGAUUUAACUAUUAAUAUGGUUCUGGUUUGGUAGCAUACAAAACGAGUAUGGUACCAGUAUACCAGAUGGUACACCAGCCUAUAUCGCCUAGUGUCAUUGAAUAAAAUAAUAAAAAUAAAAAGAGAUGUAUUGCCUUGGUAUCGAGCUCUACGUUCCAGUACUGGUACUUAGUUGAAUCAUAAAUAUGGGUCUGAACUGAUUGGUAUGAGAUUGAAACCUUGGUUCAAAGUAUCAUGAUGUACGCACACCUAAAAUUUCUACUUAAACACUAAAAUCUAAAUUUGCCUUCGGUGGACUCAUUUAAGUAUUACAUCAAAGUACAGGCCCUUUAGUAUAUAAUUCAUGUAAUAAAUUGAAUACAUGCAGCGAUUGUGCAGGAGCAAAUCUAGGUCAAAUGUCAGAUAUUGAAGUAAACAAUGGGUGAGAUAACUGUUUCAGGAUGGAUGAAAUGAAGAUGCCUUACAGAGUUUUAUCCUGAGACUGGCCAAUAGUCAAGUUAUACGUACAAUAAAGAACCAUUUUUAUCUAGGUUUAAAGUUAGUAGCUAACGAGAAUGCGUGUCGAACAUCUGAAGAUAUGCUUGAACCAAAUUGUGGGUUACAAAAGAUGUAAAAUUAGACCAAGAAAGUGGCAGGGAUCAACUUAACUCUAAACAAUACUAUAUAUGCAUAAAUAUAAAAAGUGCAUAUAGCAUGUUCAGUGCAAAUAAUGCAUCAAUUGACAAGAAAAUCACAUCAAACACAGUGAGUCUCUUAAGAAGAAGUCAUCUCAAAUUCCCAAUGACAUGAUCACCAAUCAACUUAGUUUUUGUUCCAAAAGGGAUAAAAUAAAAUCUUUGAGUUGAACUAGCACAAAGUUUACCACUUCAUGAUGAGGGACCCAAUUGUUUGCACGUAGGUCAAGCAUAUCAUGAACCAUAAAUCUCAGAGGUGGUGGCAAUUGAGGAUCGAUACUUAGCUCCUUCAGCCAGUUAAAAUAAACAUCGUUAAACCUUUGAGACUUGGGGCUCUCAUCUAACUGCUUCCCUGUGGUCUUCAAUAACUGGCAGAUCGCCUCAACAUUUUCCUCAGCUGCACAUGAUUUUCCAUCAUGCCCCAGAAGCUCCUGCAGACAGUAAAUAUAUCAGGAAGUCCCUGAAAGAGGACAC
This 14831-nucleotide long non-coding RNA is filed under the name Musa acuminata (dwarf banana). Its description in RNAcentral is "long non-coding RNA (MACU_LNC001589)". The record is from RNAcentral. Lineage: Eukaryota; Viridiplantae; Streptophyta; Magnoliopsida; Zingiberales; Musaceae.